This is a long non-coding RNA of Marmota monax (woodchuck), 6108 nucleotides long. RefSeq lists it as uncharacterized. NCBI's taxonomy places the organism in Eukaryota, Metazoa, Chordata, Mammalia, Rodentia, Sciuridae. The transcript is spliced from 2 exons. The record is from RefSeq and is a predicted model, not a curated record.
CCCAGCUGUCUAAUGGGAAAAUAGCUACCACCUGAAAAAAGUAGGCCAAAAAUCAAAGAGAAGCACCAUUUUGUGUGUGUGUGUUACUUUAGGAUACCGCUUUAAUCUAAGGUCUCUCCUUCUGCUGUGGGAAUGGAGGUCCAUGGUUUGCCUUUAAAACUGAUAAGCUGCUGGGCUGGGCUUGUGGCUCAGUGGCAGAGUGCUUGCCUGGAGCAUGUGAGGAGCUGUGUUUGAUCCUCAGCACCAAUAAAAAAUUAAGUAAACAAAGUAAAGAUUGUGACUAGUAUACCUAACAAACAAACAACAACAACAACAGCAACGGCAACAAAAAACUGAUAAGCUCCUCACUGACCACGCAUUCUCUACAAAAUCUUUCACAAGUUUACAAACCCAGUCUCUGUUCAAACACAUUGGUAAACAGACAAUCACACAAGUAUAUCACAGCAAAUUCGAUGAUGGAAAGAUGGAUGGGGAUUUGGUGAGUCCCUAGUGGAGGGUGACUGAGUCUCCUACCUCGUGCUGUGAAAGGAAGGAUCACAAAGGAGGUGCAACAUGCUGUGGGUGUGGAGGCUUCGGGAGCUACGUCAGGAGAGCCAGGCCUUCACCAGAAGGAUAUUUUAUUCACUUUCCCCAUCUACUACCACUUAAUAUAUGGUGGGCAAUUUAGGCCUUGGCUCAGACCUCAGCCACCGUCAUUCUACAGACAUCUCAAGUUUUUUUUUUGUGCCAGGAUGCAACAACUUUAACCAAGGAAUGAUUUCAGGAAAAUAAGAUUUGGGGAUCAAAAGGAAAUUCUGGAGGACUGGCAUGUGAAAUAAGCAUAUGCAAAUGAAAUGAUAUUAAAUACACUGAUAACAAUUUUCUGAACAUUCCUUAAGUCACUUUUCCCAAAUCAGGCCACCUGCCUAGGUACACUCAAUUUUUGACAAGCUCUGUAAUCCACUCUUUUAACUUCAGUUGGUCUUCUGGGAUCAGAGCAAGAAAGUAGAGGGUGGGCACCAGAUUGCCACAUUUGCUUGAUUCCCAUCAACCCCUGAUGAUGUCUAUAUGCCUCUAUGUCAUCACCACUGGCCAGGGUGAUCUUGUGGGCAUGUAUUACAAUAACCUUCCAGAUUGGCGGGGCACAAUAAAUUUUGAACCAUGACUUGAAAGGGUGUCCACUGUUAUAUCAUUAGCUAUGAACUUCAUUUUUGUAAAAAUUAGGGAAUUAGAUAAUUUAGGAGGAUAACAGAGUUGUUGGUAACUUAUGGAGUAAACUUAUAAUUUGGCAUUAUCUAAGAUGGAGAAAGGAACAUUUUUCUUUUUGAGAUGACUCUUCUUGGUGGGGCUAUACUAAUGGAUCCUGAAGCAAAUAAAAUUUAUCUAACAGUGGUGGUUCUUUACCUCUUUUCUACUAUAAUAGAUAUGCUCACAUAUAAAACACUAUCAUGGGUGAGUGUAGAUUCAGAUGUGUGAAUUACUGCUUGGAUAAAAGAUAUUUUGGAUAAUGCACCAAUAACAUACUCUAGUUUCUUCCAGUUGAGAGCUGAAUGCAAAGCAGUAAAGGUCUUGUUCCUUGUUCCCACAGUGUCUCUGGCCUAGAUUAACGCAAGCAAAUUCAAAGAUCCAGGACAGAUGUGGAAUGAUGUAAGUGGCGGAGAUGGAGUGGGGAGUGUGUGGGAGGACACAUCAGUCAGUGUGUUUUCUGCUGGAGAGAAAAGAUUUUAAGCAACUAAAAUGUGAGUCGGAGGGUAUAUUGUGGUUUGCCUCUUGCUAGGUGUACCCAUGGAAGUAUUUUGUAUAUAUAGUCACACAAGAUGUAGCAGAAUUAAAAAAAAAGCUGGAAAAUUGCUACUAAUUGAGACUUUGAAAAAUGAUCAUGAUCUCAGUUAAGAAUGAAGUGAUAUAUUAGAGUAAACCCUAUUUCUCUGGAUUUGUGACAAUCUGGGCUAUUUUUGGUAAACUAUUAGUGGGUCAUACUAGGUUUCUCGGCCUAGCAUCUGGAGAACAACACAAUUUCAGGACUUUUAUGAAGAAAAGAAGGGAUAUUGAAAUUACACAUAGAACCAGUCUGGGAUUUCAACAUUCUUUUUGCUUUUAGUAAAUGGAAACAAUUUUUUUGAAGAUCAGUAUCUCAAAAUAUAUGGCCUUUUGAGAGGAGCUCUGCUGUGUCAUCCAAGAUUUUUUAGAAGAUAAAACUAGCAAAAGUUUUGGUAGUUGUGCUUGUUUUCAGCCACUCUGAUGAAGAAUUAAUUUUCAUCUUUCAAUGGAUAAUGCAUGUUUAUAAAAGCCUUAACUAGUAUCAUGAAAAUACUAUGGGAAUUGGAGUUGAAAGUCAUGAACCUGGAUUUUAUGAAUGAGUUAACUAGUUAAAUAUUCAUUGUACUCCUACUACAUGUUCUACAUCAUGCCAACAAGGAUGGAUCAGAUUAGCUCUGUCUCUGAAAGUAGUACAACCCGUGGAUCAUAAAUUAUUUAUCGAUAUGAACAUUUACCCACCUCAUAUGAGACUGUAAACAUGCAUAGGUAUGUAUUCAUACACAAAAUUUUGCUGUUAAAAACUUAUAUAAAUGGUAUUUUAUAUUUAUCUUUUUGCAACUUCAUUUUUGUACUUAUUGUCAAUUUUUAUUUAUUGUUUGAUUAUUGUAAAAUAUUCUCUUAUGUAAGUAUAUAAAAUUUAUUUUUUUCUUUCCCAUUUGGGCAGAAUUCAGGCUGCUCCAGGUUUUGUUGUAUAAAUAUCUCUGUGCCUGUUCCUUGCACUUAGCUCACGUGUUUAUGGGAGCUGAGAUGUCCCACAAUUUCCAUCUGAAAGCUGGAGUUCCCGGAAGGUUGAUGAUGUAGCUCUGGUGCCAGUCUGAAAGCCUGAGAAUGCAGACCAUGUAUGCUCCAGUCUGAGGACAGAGAAGGCUGAGGGCCUUGAUCAUGAAGCCAUGCAAAGAGGAAGAUUUCUCUUGCUUUUCUGUUUUACCCAGGCCCUCAACAGAUUGGAUAAUGCACACUCACACUGCCGAGGUGGAAUCUGCUUUACUCAACCUAUUGAUUCAAAUGUUAAUUUUUUUCUGUUAAUAUCCUCAUAGACCCAGAAAUAAUCUUCAGCUUAAUACCUGGGUACCUUUUAACUCAGUCAUGUUGACACAUAAAAUUAACAGUAGCAUAUAACCAUUCUCUUUUUCUUUCCUUUACUUAUACUGAGAGCUUUCCCUUCUCCCAUCUCCUAUAUAAUGUUUCUCCUUUAAUUGUUAUUUCGUUCUCCUCUGUCUUCCAAAUAAAUGUACCCUGUUGGUAAUAUGCCUUUUUCUUGAGUAAAACAAUUUAUCAGUUUUACUGGCAGCAAUUAAAUAUUCUCAGCUCUAAGUUUACCUCUUUUAAGUUUACCUCUUAAAAGUUUUUCCUCCCAUAUCUUCUCCUAAUUAUCACCUCAGUACUUCUUCAUUUCCUUGCCUUUCUUGAAAAAAAAAAACCUUAUAGCUAUUUCCAAUUUUUAUUUGCUCAAAUCUCAACUCAUUCUUUUAUUCCUUAUCCCAACAUGACUCUUACUAAGGUCACCAGUUACAUGGAAGAUCCCACCCCUUCCAUGUAAAUGCAAUGAACAUUUUCAGUGUCUCAGCACAACCUGAAAUAAUUACAUAUUUAUUGAAAUUAUCUUUUUUGGGGGGGAUUGUUGAGUAAUGCAUGAUUCUAGUUUCCCUUAUGUCUCUUUGAUAGUUCAUCUCCCAUCUUCAUUGGGGUCACAUGGUCACAUUGUUAUUAUAUUAAUUAUUAGAAUUCUUUGAGUCUCAUUUGCAGAUAUUCUUUUCUUUAUGCUUUCUUUUUACUUCUUUUAUUGCCACACAUUAUACUUACAGAAAGAUUUCAAAUUGUAAGUUUAACUAAUUAUAACAAGUGAACAUAUACAUAGCCAUCAUGCAUGUCAAGAAAUAAAACAUAGUGUUUCUUACUCAUUGAUGAAGUUAGACAGAAUUGUCUUAUUUUACACUCUCAUUUUAGGAAAUACCAUCAUCUGCUAUGACUAUUUACUGCACCUAUUUACUGAUAGUUCUUUGAUUUAUUUUUCUUUCCUAAACCUCUUGAUACAUUCAAUAUCUUAUCUCAGUUGUCUUAAAAUAGUCUCCAACUCCAGAAGUCUGACAUCAGUAGUAUCACGAUCCCAUUAUAUCAAAUCUGAUCCUUUUCUAUCAUUUCUUGUAAGGUAAAUAGGAUCAACAUCCAUGCACAUAGGCAUGUCCAUAAUGUAGGGUUCAACUUAAACUUCUCCCUAGCCUCAGCAUGAAUGUAUUACCUAUUUAAUUGAGUGUAAACAUCUUUAUGUUCAAGUUUCUCUGCUUAUGUUAUCAGAAACUUAAUUCAAGUUGCCAUAUUUCUUUUUUCUGGACAAUUGUAAUUGUUGGUUCACUGUUAGCAUAAAAAAUAUGUUUGACAGGAUGAGCAAUGAACUUUUCUAAUUGUUUUAGAAUUUCUGCCAAAGCCCCAAAGAUGAGAACAGUAGGUGAAAGGUACUCCUUAAUUCUAAUAUGCUAUCAGUUAUCUCUAUAAUUUAUUAGACAAACAGCUCCAUGACCCCAUAUAGCCUCCAAAGAGAAUUCUGUAGUUUAUUAAGAAAAUUAAGAGAAGAUGAGUGUUUCUAGUACCCAGGCACCUUCAGUAUAAGGACAUUUCUUUUAAUUUUCAGCAUUAAAAAACUGUCAGUACAUUCAACCUAGCAAUAAUAUUAUAGAUUAAACAACAUCAUGAUUAUUUUAAACUAAUUUAUUUGCUUAUAUGUCUCCCCUGAUUCUUGCCUUUCCCUUUGUCUCUAUGCUUUAUCUACCACUUAGAGUGAAGGUUUUGCUGCUCUUCAAGCUUCUGAAUUGUUAGGUAUUUCUGUGCAGGAAUUAACAUGCUUUUUCAGGCUAAAUUCUGUAACUGCUUUUCACCCUUCAGCUCCUACCCCUUCCAAAAAUGAUUUCAAGUCUUAGCCUUCUAACCAUAACAGGUAUGUGGUGAUAAAGUAACCAGUGGGGAACAAUUCCUGACAUUUUAGUUCCUCUAUACAUGAUCUAUCUUUAGAAUUUUAACUAUAGAAACAGCCAAAUCAGCUUGUUUGCAAGCAAACUAUAAUUUCCCAGAAUUAUCCCACAAUAAUAUGGUUUUAAAAGUCAGAUGAAAAUGCAUCUCCUCCAUGCUUAAUUGCAUUCUUGUGGUUUUUGAUUGUUUGAUAACAUUAGCAUAUUUUUCUAUCCUCCAUAUUCCUAGCAUGGAUGCCAUAGAAAAUCGAGGUUCCCAAUUCUGCAAAACUCACUCACCUAGGUAAAGGGAAAAAUUAAAUACUUUUUUUUUUAAGAAGUGAGCAUGAAAAUAAAUCUUUAUUUUCAGUUAUUACCCACGAAUAAGAGAAAGUUAGGUUCACAGUUUUAGCUAUUGACACAAAGUGAACUAGGAGGCAAAUUCACAUCCAUCAGACACAACUAAUGGAUCAACUUUUUCAAGUUUAGGCUAUCUUGAAAGCUUGCAACAUACCAGGUAUUGCUGUGUGUUCUCUAGUGACAAUGGCUGACAGCAAAUGGAACUUGAAGUGUUUUUGAAUAACAGAUGUUUUCUAUAAUAUGUUGCUGGAAAUCAAGAGAUUUACAUGUUCAGAAAAGAGUUGAAUCCUUAAAGUCUAAACACACUGAUUUAAGAGUGUGUAUGUUGCAAUUUCAAAAGGAGUCAAUAAUCCAUAUGGACUAAAUUAACACUUGCCUCUGGGUAGCAGGCCUUUUUGUAAAUAUAAAAUUAUAUUAGACAUUAGCACCAGUGCAGAACAUGCUCAGCAUCAUAAGAUCCAAAACACCAGUACAAGUUUAUCCAUCACUAAAAAACAAUUACCUCUUACUAAGAUGUCAAGACUAGUAGGUAGAUUGAUACAUCCAAUCCAAACGAAUAACUUUUGUACUGUACAAUGUUUUUUUCAGAAGUAUAAGUGAAAACCAAUCAACUACAAAGCAGACAUGUUAAAUUUAAAAUCUCCAAUAUUUUAAAAACUGGAUCUUACCAGAGGUAGAAAAUAACUGACAAGUGACAGAAGUUAAAACUUUAAAUAAAAUUCCUUCCCUGUUUAAUCAAUAAAUGUGGCAGAAUAAAAAAAAAUAUCCUACAAAACCUGUUUAUUGA